GUAGGGAAUCUUCCGCAAUGGGCGAAAGCCUGACGGAGCAACGCCGCGUGAGUGAUGAAGGUCUUCGGAUCGUAAAGCUCUGUUGUUAGGGAAGAACAUAUGUGUAAGUAACUGUGCACAUCUUGACGGUACCUAACCAGAAAGCCACGGCUAACUACGUGCCAGCAGCCGCGGUAAUACGUAGGUGGCAAGCGUUAUCCGGAAUUAUUGGGCGUAAAGCGCGCGUAGGCGGUUUUUUAAGUCUGAUGUGAAAGCCCACGGCUCAACCGUGGAGGGUCAUUGGAAACUGGAAAACUUGAGUGCAGAAGAGGAAAGUGGAAUUCCAUGUGUAGCGGUGAAAUGCGCAGAGAUAUGGAGGAACACCAGUGGCGAAGGCGGCUUUCUGGUCUGUAACUGACGCUGAGGUGCGAAAGCGUGGGGAUCAAACAGGAUUAGAUACCCGUGUAGUCC
This 450-nucleotide ribosomal RNA is filed under the name uncultured bacterium. Its description in RNAcentral is "bacterial SSU rRNA". It matches the Rfam family "Bacterial small subunit ribosomal RNA", at positions 354 to 796 of the family's 1533-position model. The record is from RNAcentral.